UGUAGUCGGUCCCAAGGGUUGGGCUGUUCGCCCAUUAAAGCGGUACGCGAGCUGGGUUCAGAACGUCGUGAGACAGUUCGGUCCCUAUCCGUCGUGGGCGUAGGAAAUUUGAGAGGAGCUGUCCUUAGUACGAGAGGACCGGGAUGGACAUACCUCUGGUGUACCAGUUGUCGUGCCAACGGCAUAGCUGGGUAGCUAUGUAUGGACGGGAUAAGUGCUGAAAGCAUCUAAGCAUGAAGCCCCCCUCAAGAUGAGAUUUCCCAACUUCGGUUAUAAGAUCCCUCGAAGAUGACGAGGUUAAUAGGUUCGAGGUGGAAGCGUGGUGACACGUGGAGCUGACGAAUACUAAUCGAUCGAAGACUUAAUCAA
This 369-nucleotide ribosomal RNA is filed under the name human gut metagenome. RNAcentral describes it as "bacterial LSU rRNA". It matches the Rfam family "Bacterial large subunit ribosomal RNA", at positions 2554 to 2925 of the family's 2925-position model. The record is from RNAcentral.